RNAcentral lists this ribosomal RNA (492 nucleotides) under uncultured bacterium. RNAcentral's name for it is "partial 16S ribosomal RNA". It matches the Rfam family "Bacterial small subunit ribosomal RNA", at positions 29 to 507 of the family's 1533-position model. The record is from RNAcentral.
AGUGAACGCUGGCGGUAGGCCUAACACAUGCAAGUCGAACGGCAGCACAGUAAGAGCUUGCUCUUACGGGUGGCGAGUGGCGGACGGGUGAGGAAUACAUCGGAAUCUACUUUUUCGUAGGGGAUCAAGUAGGGAAACUUACGCUAAUACCGCAUACGACCUGCGGGUGAAAGCAGGGGAUCUUCGUACCUUGCGCGAUUGAAUGAGCCGAUGUCGGAUUAGCUAGUUGGCGGGGUAAUGGCCCACCAAGGCGACGAUCCGUAGCUGGUCUGAGAGCAUGAAUCGGCAGAUGGGAACUGAGAAUGGGCCGAGACACCGGCGGGAGGAAACAGUGGGGAAUAUUGGACGAGGGAGGCAAGCGGGAUCCUGCCAUACCGCGUGAGUGAAGAACGCCCUCUGGUUGGAAAGCCCUGAUGGUGGUAGAGAAAAGCAGCAGGUUAAUACCCCGCUGUACUGACGGUACCCAAAGAAUAAGCACCGGCUAACUUCGAG